RNAcentral lists this ribosomal RNA (458 nucleotides) under uncultured bacterium. Its description in RNAcentral is "bacterial SSU rRNA". It matches the Rfam family "Bacterial small subunit ribosomal RNA", at positions 338 to 795 of the family's 1533-position model. The record is from RNAcentral.
CCUACGGGGGGCAGCAGUGAGGAAUAUUGCGCAAUGGAGGAAACUCUGACGCAGCCACGCCGCGUGGUGGAUGACACCCCUAUGGGGCGUAAACACCUUUUAUGAGAGAAGAAGUCCCUAUUCGAUAGGGUUUGACGGUACCUCAUGAAUAAGCACCGGCUAACUCCGUGCCAGCAGCCGCGGUAAUACGGAGGGUGCAAGCGUUGUCCGGAAUCACUGGGUGUAAAGGGUGUGUAGGCGGAGCUGUAAGUCAGAGGUGAAAUCCUGCGGCUUAACCGUAGAACUGCCUUUGAUACUGCAGCCCUUGAGUAUCGGAGAGGUUGCUGGAAUUCGUGGUGUAGCGGUGAAAUGCGUAGAUAUCACGAGGAACACCAGAGGCGUAGGCGGGCAACUGGACGAUUACUGACGCUGAGGCACGAAAGCGUGGGGAGCAAACAGGAUUAGAUACCCCCGUAGUC